UACGUAGGGUCCGAGCGUUGUCCGGAAUUAUUGGGCGUAAAGGGCUCGUAGGCGGUCUGUUGCGUCGGGAGUGAAAACUUACAGCUUAACUGUGAGCGUGCUUUCGAUACGGGCGGACUUGAGGCAUUCAGGGGAGAACGGAAUUCCUGGUGUAGCGGUGAAAUGCGCAGAUAUCAGGAGGAACACCGGUGGCGAAGGCGGUUCUCUGGGAAUGUCCUGACGCUGAGGAGCGAAAGUGUGGGGAGCGAACAGG
RNAcentral lists this ribosomal RNA (253 nucleotides) under uncultured bacterium. Its description in RNAcentral is "partial 16S ribosomal RNA". It matches the Rfam family "Bacterial small subunit ribosomal RNA", at positions 524 to 776 of the family's 1533-position model. The record is from RNAcentral.